UUAGCAGUGAGCAAACGACUCCAGAGCAACUCCUCCAAGUAAAUUGUUUUGUAUCCACUGAUUGCACAACUGUUGAGUGUCAGUUGAGUGGUGCCUGCCCCGGAUUAUAGUUGUGCACAGAUGACCAAAUCUGUGUUGUAUUGUUGAACUCAUGAAACAGCCUGUGAGAGACACCCUGGGAGACAUGUGGAGCCCUGAGACUCUGGGUUAUAACCAAACACAGAGGCCACAGUAUCCUGGCUCAGCUACUACUACUACUACUGGCAGCUGCAGUGACUCAGACCUUUCAAAGGAAUACUUAGCUGCCAUUUACAAGUCAUCUGAAGCUAAGACGUGUUCGUCUUAAAGACGAAGAUGGAGCAGUUCUUCUACAUUCAGCCACAGGAG
Long non-coding RNA from Sander lucioperca (pikeperch), 387 nucleotides. RefSeq lists it as uncharacterized. NCBI's taxonomy places the organism in Eukaryota, Metazoa, Chordata, Actinopteri, Perciformes, Percidae. The transcript is spliced from 3 exons. The record is from RefSeq and is a predicted model, not a curated record.